Long non-coding RNA from Arabidopsis thaliana (thale cress), 264 nucleotides. RefSeq annotates it as other RNA. NCBI's taxonomy places the organism in Eukaryota, Viridiplantae, Streptophyta, Magnoliopsida, Brassicales, Brassicaceae. The transcript has a single exon. The record is from RefSeq.
ACACCCUAACCUAAUCGAACCUCUAAAAGUCCCACCACAUUCCCAAAAACAAUUAUGCUAGUUGAGAAUAAGAAGCAACUAUUUUAAAAACAAUAACAAACAAUGAUUACGAAACAAAGGAAACGAGAGACGUACUGUCGAAGAUUAGGAACCUAGGAGAAAUAGCACGAGAGAUCAAUUGCUUAAACCCUAGUGUCUCUCAAGUCUCAAACCUCCGAGCAAAAAGUGUCUUUUUCCUUUCUUUCUUUUUUUCUUUGCCAGCGA